Molecule: long non-coding RNA, 5819 nt
Filed under: Hordeum vulgare
Lineage: Eukaryota; Viridiplantae; Streptophyta; Magnoliopsida; Poales; Poaceae
Description: long non-coding RNA (HVUL_LNC001113)
Source: RNAcentral
CCCAAUCCCGAUUCAGCCGCCGCCAACCACACGUGGUAUCCUCCUUGAUUUCCCCUCCUGCCCAAUCCUGUGGAGCCUCCUCGCUUGACAGUGCCCGAGGCCACCUCCUCUGCUCGAUCCCAGGGGAAUCACAAGUAGCUCAUCCCCGGCAACCAGAUCGCUGGACGUGUCUAGCUCCCAGCAGACGCAAGCGCUCGCCCCGAACUCCUUGAUUCGCCGAGCACGAGCACCACCUCAUGAACGCCUCUUCGGUCGGCCGCCCUGCAGGAGCUUCAUCUGCGCCACCGUCCGGCCGUCGGACCAGCAUGUCCCCAGCUCAUGUCUUUUUUCCUUCUUGGUUCUCCUUCCUCCUACCCUUCUUCCUCCCCUUCUCUCAUGUCUCUCUUGCUCUAUUGCAUCAGGUUCCAGCCAGGGAGUAUGCCAUGAAUGGCUGGCCUUAAGCUUGUGUGGUGAGUCCCUCAAUCACCGGGAACGAGACCAAUGCCUCAAGAUCCGGCGCCCCAAGGCCUCGAUCCGGUUCGUCCCCGUCGCCUUCGGCCAGGACCUCAUCACCCUCGCCGUCCCCGUGUAGUUCUUGCCGGAUCACGCCUCUGCUUCGCCACUGACCAUCGACCCCGAGCCCCUGGUGAGCGCCCUGCCUACAACCCGCUUUGCUUCAUCGCUUGCACGCGAGACGAGCCAGCCCCCCGUAGCUCAUUUGCAUGCACGCACGCACGCACGCACCAACACACAUUCCCGCACGCCCGCAGCUGCUCUGCAUCGUUGUGAAGGCUUGGCCUUGCCCAGCUUAAGAAGCAGCGUCUAGCCUCUAAACACUCGCUCACAGCAAGCCUAGUUGGCUAGCAAGCCAGUCUUCCUUCCAAGAGAUAGUGGGUUCGAUUCCUAGUGAGCACACAUUUUACUCUAUUUUGGUAUUUUUUUUCCUAGAUUUGUUCCCCAUUUAGGGGAUACUAAGGUCCUGUUUCAUACUACUUUGGUCCUUAAAAUUCAUCUUUCUUCCACAAAAGACAAGCCAAACGAGGUAACUCCACGAUAUGCUGCUCCAUAAAAAAACUAGAAUGUGGGGUACAACUUCAAAGUUUUUAUGAAGCUCAAGAGGGUGCUUCAAAUAACUCUAAAAGUUGGAGUUGGGGGAAAAUUACCCACCACUGCCACCAGUAAGUGGAUACCCCUUCAUUUCUUUCUCCUCAACCAAUCAAAUAGAUUUUUUCCACCAAAAUUUCUAUUCUUGAAGCUGGAGCUACAUAGAAGCCAAACAUUCUCUUGAUAGUGCUAUAGCUUUUGUAUGAAACUACUCUAAAGUGAAUUUGAUGAAGUGAAACUGGUUUUGGUGAAUUGAAGCAGUCCUAAACAGGCCCUAAGAAAUGGAUUUAUGUUAGGACUCGAGCCCCAGUCGGAGAGGCUAGUACCUAGCGUGUCCAUUCAAGAGGUUUGGGAUCGAAACCCAAAGCCACCCCUAUUUUUUUUUUUCUUGUUCUGCUAUAUUUGUUAUUCCCUCUCGUUUUGCACUCAGUCAGUUCCUUGGGCCGAUUUCAGCCUUGGGUCGUUACACUACGUUGCAAUUCAGUCCAUGUAUAUUUCUUUCCACCUACAGUUUGCUAUUUGUUUCUUUAGAAAAACCAUUGAUUUUAAAAUGCUUGUACUGUGGUGAAUAACUUGUGUUGAUUCUUGUUUCCGGUUUGCUUCGUCUCGAUAGAGUUCCGUAAGCAUGUCGGAAUGUGAUGAUCCAUUCGACUACAUCGAUUCGUCUGCUUCACGGAGUCGUUCUUCUUCCAAGCGGGAUCAUAGGCANNNNNNNNNNNNNNNNNNNNNNNNNNNNNNNNNNNNNNNNNNNNNNNNNNNNNNNNNNNNNNNNNNNNNNNNNNNNNNNNNNNNNNNNNNNNNNNNNNNNCCGAUGGAGAGACGAGGACUCCCGGUAGGGCUUCGCCAAGCACCGUGGGAGAGGAGGAAGAAGAAGAGCAGGGCUGCGCCGAGAGAGAGAUGGAAUUCGGUAUCUCCAAUGGGCAAACCCCCCGAUAUAUAUCGGGGCAAGGGAGGGUGGCGCCCCCUAGGGUUCCCACCCCUAAGGGGUAGGGCAGCCCUAGAUGGGGGGAGGGGGUGGCGGGGAGGAGGGGUGGCGCACCCCCUGGUGGGCCUUAGGCCCACCUGCGCUAGGGUUCCCCCCUUCCCCUCUUAGGCGCCAUGGGUUGGGUGUGGGGGCGCACCAGCCCACCCAGGGGCUAGUUCCCUCCCACACUUGGCCCAUGUAGCCUCCUGGGGCUGGUGGCCUCUCCCGGUGGNNNNNNNNNNGUGGUUCCGGCAAUUUGCCAGUGGUGCGUGAAACAUUUUCGGCGUCCAAACCCAUCCAUCGUAUAUAUCAAUCUUUAUCUCCGGACUAUUCCGGAGCUCCUCGUGACGUCCGGGAUCUCAUCCGGGACUCCGAACAACCUUCGGUAACCUCGUAUAACAAUUCCCUAUAACCCUAGCAUCAUCAAACCUGAAGUGUGUAGACCCUACGGGUUCGGGAGGCAUGCAUACAUGACCAAGACACCUCUCCAGCCAAUAACCAUCAGCGUGGUCUGGAUACCCAUGGUGGCUCCCACAUGUUCCACGAUGAUCUCGUCGGAUGAACCAUGAUGUCAAGGAUUAAAUCAAUCCCGUAUACGAUUCCCUUUGUCUAUCGGUAUAGAACUUGCCCGAGAUUCGAUCGUCGGUAUCCCAUACCUUGUUCAAUCUCGUUACCGGUAAGUCUCUUUACUCGUUCUGUAGCACAUCAUCCCGUGACUAACUACUUAGUCACAUUGAGCUCAUUAUGAUGAUGUUCUACCGAGUGGGCCCAGAGAUACCUCUCCGUCACACGGAGUGACAAAUCCCUAUCUUGAUUCGUACCGACCCAACACACACUUUCGGAGAUACCCGUAGUGCACCUUUAUAGUCACCCAGUUAUGUUGUGACGUUUGAUACACCCAAAGCACUCCUACUGUAUCUGGGAGUUGAACACUCUCACGGUCGAAGGAAAAGACACUUGACAUUAGAAAAGCUUUAGCAUACGAACAACACGAUCUAGUGCUAUGCUUAGGAUUGGGUCUUGUCCAUCACAUCAUUCUCUUAAUGAUGUGAUCCCAUUAUCAAUGACAUCUAAUGUCAAUGAUCAGGAAACCAUGAUCAUCUAUUGAUCAACGAGCUAGCCAACUAGAGGCUUGCUAGGGACACAUUGUGAUCUAUUUAUUCACACAUGUAUUAUUGUUUCCUGUUAAUACAAUUAUAGCAUGAACAAUUGACGAUUAUCAUGAACAAGGAAAUAUGAUAAUAACUAUUUUAUUAUUGCCUCUAGGGCAUAUUUCCAACAGUAUCCCACUUGCACUAGAGUCAAUAAUCUAGUUACAUUGUGAUGUAUCGAACACCCAUAGCAUUGUGGUGUUGAUCAUGUUUUGCUCGAGAGAGAGGUUUCCUCAACGGGUCUGCAAUGUUCAGAUCCGUGUGUACUUUACAAAUAUCUUUUACUCCUCUCUGGACCUGGUCCUGGAUGGAGUUGUAGCAGCGUUGGAUGUGCUUCGUCUUGCGGUGAAAUCUGGGCUCCUUGGCUAUGGCAAUGACUCCAGUGUUAUCACAGAAGAGUGUCAUCGGACCUGACGCGCUUGGAACCACUCCAAGGUUGGUGAUGAACUCCUUCAUCCAGAUCCCUUCAUGAGCUGCUUCCAAAGCAGCUAUGUACUCCGCUUCACAUGUAGAUGCUGCCACGACGUCUUGCUUGCUGCUGCACCAGCUCACUGCCCCACCAUUCAAAACAUACACGUAUCCGGUUUGUGACUUAGAGUCAUCCGACUCUGUGUCUAAGCUAGCGUCGGCGUAACCCUUUAAGACGAGCUCUUCGUCACCUCCAUAAACGAGAAACAUCUCCUUAGUCCUUUUCAGGUACUUAAGGAUAUUCUUGACCGCUGUCUAGUGUUCCAUACCGGUAUCACUUUGGUACCUCCCUACAAACUUAUGGCAAGGUGGUACACAACAUGGCAUACAUUAGAGAGCCCACGGCUGAAGCGUAGGGGACAGUACUCAUCUUCUCUCUAUCUGCUGUCGUGGUCGGUGACUGAGUCUUACUCAAUCUCAUACCUUGCAAAACUGGCAAGAACCCCUUCUUUGAGUUUUCCAUAUUGAACUUCUUAAAUAUCUUGUCAAGAUAUGUACUUUGUGAAAGACCUAUGAGGCGUCUCGAUUUAUCUCUAUAGAUCUUGAUGUCUAAUAUGUAUGCAGCUUCUCCAAGGUCCUUCAUUGAAAAACUCUUGUUCAAGUAGGCCUUUAUGCUCUCCAAUAACUCUAUAUUAUUCCCCAACAAUAGUAUGUCAUCCACAUACAGUAUGAGGAAAGCUACAGGGCUCCCACUCACUUUCUUGUACAGAUAGGCUUCUCCAUAAACCUGUAUGAAUCCAAACGCUUUAAUCACCUCAUUAAAGUGACUGUUCCAACUCCGAGAUGCUUGCACUAGCCCAUAGAUGGAGCGCUGGACCUUGCAUACCUUGUUAGCACUCUUAGGAUCGACAAAACCUUCUGGUUGCAUCAUAUACAACUCUUCCUUAAGGUACCCGUUAAGGAACGCUGUUUUGACGUCCAUUUGCCAAAUUUCAUAAUCAUGAAAAGCAGCAAUUGCUAACAUGAUUCAGACUGACUUUAGCUUCGCUACGGGAGAGAAAGUCUCAUCGUAGUCAACUCCUUGAAUUUGUCGAAAACCCUUUGCGACAAGUCGAGCUUUGUAAACGGUCACAUUACCGUUUGCGUCAGUCUUCCUCUUGAAGAUCCAUUUAUUUUCUAUGGCUCGCCGAUCAUCGGGAAAGUCCACCAAAGUCCAUACUUUGUUCUCAUACAUGGAUCCUAUCUCGGAUUUCAUAGCCUCAAGCCAUUUGUUGGAAUCCGGGCCCGCCAUUGCUUCUUCAUAGUUCGAAGGUUCACCGUUGUCUAACAACAUGAUUUCCAUCACAGGGUUGCCGUACUACUCUGGUGCGGAACGUACCCUUCUGGACCUUCGCGGUUCAGUAGCAACUUGAUCCGAAGCUUCAUGAUCAUCAUCAUUAACUUCCUCUUUAGUUGGCGUAGGCGCCACAGGAACAAUUUCCCGCGUUGCACUACUCUCUGAUUCGAGAGGGGGUACAAUUACCUCAUCAAGUUCUACUUUCCUCCCACUUACUUCUUUCGAGAGAAACUCUUUCUCUAGAAAGGAUCCGUUCUUGGCAACAAAGGUUUUACCUUCGGAUCUAAGAUAGAAGGUAUACCCAUAGUUUCCUGGAGGUAUCCUAUGAAUACACAUUUCUUCGCUUUGGGUUCGAGCUUUUCUGGUUGAAGUUUCUUCACAUAAGCAUCGCAGCCCCAAACUUUAAGAAACGACACCUUAGGUUUCUUGCCAAACCAUAGUUCAUACGGUGUCGUCUCUACGGAUUUAGACCGUGCCCUAUUUAAAGUGAAUGCUGCAGUUUCCAAUGUGUAUCCCCAAAAUGAUAGCGGUAAGUCGGUAAGACACAUCAUAGAUCGUGCCAUAUCUAAUAAAGUGUGAUUACGACGUCCAGACACUCCGUUACGUUGCGGUGUGCCAGGCGGCAUCAGUUGUGAAACAAUUCCACAUUUCCUUAGGUGUGUGCCAAACUCGUGACUCAAAUAUUCUCCUCCACGAUCAGAUCGUAGACACUUUAUUUUUCUGUCACAUUGAUUCUCAACCUCACUCUGAAAUUCCAUGAACUUUUCAAACGUUUCAGAUUUGUGCUUCAUCAAGUAGAUAUACCCAUGCCUACUCAAAUCAUCGGUGAGAGUGGGAACAUAACGAUAGCCACCGCGAGCUUCAACGUUCAUUGGAC